RNAcentral lists this ribosomal RNA (555 nucleotides) under uncultured Glomus. RNAcentral describes it as "SSU rRNA". It matches the Rfam family "Eukaryotic small subunit ribosomal RNA", at positions 548 to 1098 of the family's 1831-position model. Lineage: Eukaryota; Fungi; Glomeromycota; Glomeromycetes; Glomerales; Glomeraceae. The record is from RNAcentral.
UUGGAGGGCAAGUCUGGUGCCAGCAGCCGCGGUAAUUCCAGCUCCAAUAGCGUAUAUUAAAGUUGUUGCAGUUAAAAAGCUCGUAGUUGAAUUUCGGGAUUGGCGUGUCGGUCGUGCCUUACGGGGUAUGAACUGGCGUCGUCGAUUUCUCACCUUCUGGAGAAUCACGAUGCCCUUAAUUGGGUGUCGUGUGGAACCAGGACCUUUACCUUGAAGAAAUUAGAGUGUUUAAAGCAGGCAUUUUGCUCGAAUACAUUAGCAUGGAAUAAUAAAAUAGGACGGCUUGGUUCUAUUUUGUUGGUUUCUAGGAUCACCGUAAUGAUUAAUAGGGAUAGUUGGGGGCAUUAGUAUUCAAUUGUCAGAGGUGAAAUUCUUGGAUUUAUUGAAGACUAACUACUGCGAAAGCAUUUGCCAAGGAUGUUUUCAUUAAUCAAGAACGAAAGUUAGGGGAUCGAAGACGAUCAGAUACCGUCGUAGUCUUAACCAUAAACUAUGCCGACUAGGAAUCAGACGAUGUUAAUUUUUUAAUGAAUCGUUUGGCACCUUACGGGAAAC